This 422-nucleotide ribosomal RNA is filed under the name uncultured archaeon. Its description in RNAcentral is "partial 16S ribosomal RNA". It matches the Rfam family "Archaeal small subunit ribosomal RNA", at positions 323 to 746 of the family's 1478-position model. The record is from RNAcentral.
CUACGGGGGGCACCAGGCGAGAAAACUUUGCAAUGUGCGAAAGCACGACAAGGUUAAUCCGAGUGGUUUCUGCUAAAGGAACCUUUUGACAGUCCUAGAAACACUGUUGAAUAAGGGGUGGGCAAGUUCUGGUGUCAGCCGCCGCGGUAAAACCAGCACCUCAAGUGGUCAGGAUGAUUAUUGGGCCUAAAGCAUCCGUAGCAGGCUCUAUAAGUUUUCGGUUAAAUCUGUACGCUCAACGUACAGGCUGCCGGGAAUACUGCAGAGCUAGGGAGUGGGAGAGGUAGACGGUACUCGGUAGGAAGGGGUAAGAUCCUUUGAUCUAUUGAUGACCACCUGUGGCGAAGGCGGUCUACCAGAACACGUCCGACGGUGAGGGAUGAAAGCUGGGGGAGCAAACCGGAUUAGAUACCCUAGUAGUC